Long non-coding RNA from Pseudopipra pipra, 410 nucleotides. RefSeq lists it as uncharacterized. The transcript is spliced from 3 exons. Lineage: Eukaryota; Metazoa; Chordata; Aves; Passeriformes; Pipridae. The record is from RefSeq and is a predicted model, not a curated record.
GGACGAGGGGCAGCCCCAGCACCCCCACACUGAUGGGGCACUGCCUGGUUGGCCAAGGACAGUUGUGUCAGCAGCAAUAAGGGCAUGUCCCACCCACCAGGAGGGGUAUAAAACCAGGCUGUUUUGGGCAAAGCAGCAUUCCCUGACCCCAAGGGCAUCUGGAGCCAAGUGAUUCCUGUUGGAUUUGCUGCUGCCUGAACACCAAGACCUUCAUCAGCCCUGCGAAGACGUGGGAGUGGUGGAUCAGCCAUGAAGAUCCUGUACCUGCUCUUCCCCUUGCUCCUCCUGCUGGUCCAGGGUGCUGCAGGAGAUCCAACUGAAUGCAGACGGCGAGGGGGAUACUGCACUUUUCGGAAUUGCCCCUUCUCUACAGUACCAAUUGGAUUCUGCUCAAAAGAUACUCUCUGCUG